Molecule: ribosomal RNA, 889 nt
Filed under: uncultured bacterium
Lineage: Bacteria
Description: bacterial SSU rRNA
Rfam family: Bacterial small subunit ribosomal RNA
Source: RNAcentral
UGCAAGUAGAACGCUGAAGGAGGAGCUUGCUUCUCUGGAUGAGUUGCGAACGGGUGAGUAACGCGUAGGUAACCUGCCUGGUAGCGGGGGAUAACUAUUGGAAACGAUAGCUAAUACCGCAUAAUAGUAGAUGUUGCAUGACAUUUGCUUAAAAGGUGCAAUUGCAUCACUACCAGAUGGACCUGCGUUGUAUUAGCUAGUUGGUGGGGUAACGGCUCACCAAGGCGACGAUACAUAGCCGACCUGAGAGGGUGAUCGGCCACACUGGGACUGAGACACGGCCCAGACUCCGACGGGAGGCAGCAGUAGGGAAUCUUCGGCAAUGGACGGAAGUCUGACCGAGCAACGCCGCGUGAGUGAAGAAGGUUUUCGGAUCGUAAAGCUCUGUUGUAAGAGAAGAACGAGUGUGAGAGUGGAAAGUUCACACUGUGACGGUAUCUUACCAGAAAGGGACGGCUAACUACGUGCCAGCAGCCGCGGUAAUACGUAGGUCCCGAGCGUUGUCCGGAUUUAUUGGGCGUAAAGCGAGCGCAGGCGGUUAGAUAAGUCUGAAGUUAAAGGCUGUGGCUUAACCAUAGUACGCUUUGGAAACUGUUUAACUUGAGUGCAAGAGGGGAGAGUGGAAUUCCAUGUGUAGCGGUGAAAUGCGUAGAUAUAUGGAGGAACACCGGUGGCGAAAGCGGCUCUCUGGCUUGUAACUGACGCUGAGGCUCGAAAGCGUGGGGAGCAAACAGGAUUAGAUACCCUGGUAGUCCACGCCGUAAACGAUGAGUGCUAGGUGUUAGACCCUUUCCGGGGUUUAGUGCCGCAGCUAACGCAUUAAGCACUCCGCCUGGGGAGUACGACCGCAAGGUUGAAACUCAAAGGAAUUGACGGGGGCCCGCACAAG